AGCUUUCUGAAUCCAUGUCGAGAUUUCGUUUGACAUCAGCCCACCAGGAGUGAUGAGGCUUCUAAGAUAAGUCAAGUA
Molecule: microRNA precursor, 78 nt
Filed under: Schistosoma mansoni
Lineage: Eukaryota; Metazoa; Platyhelminthes; Trematoda; Strigeidida; Schistosomatidae
Description: mir-3492 microRNA precursor family
Rfam family: mir-3492 microRNA precursor family
Source: Rfam by way of RNAcentral